AACAAGGAUUCCCCUAGUAACUGCGAGUGAAGCGGGACGAGCUCAAAUUUUGAAUCUGGCAGUCCUUACCCGGCUGUCCGAGUUGUAAUCUAGAGAAGCGUCUUCCGCGCCGGACCGUGUACAAGUCUCCUGGAAGGGAGCGUCAUAGAGGGUGAGAAUCCCGUCUUUGACACGGACUGCCGGGUGCUUAUGUGAUGCGCUCUCGACGAGUCGAGUUGUUUGGGAAUGCAGCUCAAAAUGGGUGGUAAAUUCCAUCUAAAGCUAAAUAUGGGCGAGAGACCGAUAGCGAACAAGUACCGUGAGGGAAAGAUGAAAAGAACUUUGGAAAGAGAGUUAAACAGUAUGUGAAAUUGCUGAAAGGGAAACGCUUGAUGUCAGUCGCGUCGGCUGGGGAUCAACCUUGCUUCAUCGCUCGGUGUACUUCCUAGUCGAUGGGUCAGCAUCAGUUUCGGUCGCUGUACAAGGGCCGAAGGGAAUGUAGCACUCUUCGGAGUGUGUUAUAGCCCUUCGUCGUAUGCAGUGGCUCGGGACUGAGGAACUCGGCACGGACUUNGGUCCUGUNGCCUAGGAUGCUGGCAUAAUGGCCUUAAGCGACCCGUCUUGAAACACGGACCAAGGAGUCUAACAUGCCUGCGAGUGUUUGGGUGCAAAACUCGAGCGCGUAAUGAAAGUG
Molecule: ribosomal RNA, 673 nt
Filed under: Retiboletus pseudogriseus
Lineage: Eukaryota; Fungi; Basidiomycota; Agaricomycetes; Boletales; Boletaceae
Description: LSU rRNA
Rfam family: Eukaryotic large subunit ribosomal RNA
Source: RNAcentral